GAGUUGGAUCGUGGCUCACGACGAACGCUGGCGGCGUGCUUAACACAUGCAAGUCGAACGAUGAAGCCUAGCUUGCUAGGUGGAUUAGUGGCGAACGGGUGAGUAAUACGUGAGUGACCUACCUUUGACUCUGGGAUAAGCCUGGGAAACUGGGUCUAAUACCGGAUACGACCAAUCUCCGCAUGGGGUGUUGGUGGAAAGCGUUAUGGAGUGGUUUUAGAUGGGCUCACGGCCUAUCAGCUUGUUGGUGAGGUAAUGGCUUACCAAGGCGACGACGGGUAGCCGGCCUGAGAGGGUGACCGGCCACACUGGGACUGAGACACGGCCCAGACUCCUACGGGAGGCAGCAGUGGGGAAUAUUGCACAAUGGGCGCAAGCCUGAUGCAGCGACGCCGCGUGAGGGAUGACGGCCUUCGGGUUGUAAACCUCUGUUAGCAUCGAAGAAGCGAAAGUGACGGUAGGUGCAGAGAAAGCGCCGGCUAACUACGUGCCAGCAGCCGCGGUAAUACGUAGGGCGCGAGCGUUGUCCGGAAUUAUUGGGCGUAAAGAGCUUGUAGGCGGUUGGUCGCGUCUGCUGUGAAAAGCUGGGGCUUAACCCUGGUUUUGCAGUGGGUACGGGCUAACUAGAGUGCAGUAGGGGAGACUGGAAUUCCUGGUGUAGCGGUGGAAUGCGCAGAUAUCCAGGAGGAACACCGAUGGCGAAGGCAGGUCUCUGGGCUGUAACUGACGCUGAGAAGCGAAAGCAUGGGGAGCGAACAGGAUUAGAUACCCUGGUAGUCCAUGCCGUAAACGUUGGGCACUAGGUGUGGGGGACAUUCCACGUUUUCCGCGCCGUAGCUAACGCAUUAAGUGCCCCGCCUGGGGAGUACGGCCGCAAGGCUAAAACUCAAAGAAAUUGACGGGGGCCCGCACAAGCGGCGGAGCAUGCGGAUUAAUUCGAUGCAACGCGAAGAACCUUACCAAGGCUUGACAUAUACUGGCCCCCCCCCCCAGAUGGCGUUUCCCUUCGGGGCUGGUAUACAGGUGGUGCAUGGUUGUCGUCAGCUCGUGUCGUGAGAUGUUGGGUUAAGUCCCGCAACGAGCGCAACCCUCGUUCUAUGUUGCCAGCACGUGAUGGUGGGGACUCAUAGGAGACUGCCGGGGUCAACUCGGAGGAAGGUGGGGAUGACGUCCCCUCAUCAUGCCCCUUAUGUCUUGGGCUUCACGCAUGCUACAAUGGCCGGUACAGAGGGUUGCGAUACUGUGAGGUGGAGCUAAUCCCUAAAAGCCGGUCUCAGUUCGGAUUGGGGUCUGCAACUCGACCCCAUGAAGUCGGAGUCGCUAGUAAUCGCAGAUCAGCAACGCUGCGGUGAAUACGUUCCCGGGCCUUGCACACACCGCCCGUC
Molecule: ribosomal RNA, 1385 nt
Filed under: uncultured bacterium
Lineage: Bacteria
Description: bacterial SSU rRNA
Rfam family: Bacterial small subunit ribosomal RNA
Source: RNAcentral